This 72-nucleotide transfer RNA is filed under the name Saccoglossus kowalevskii. RNAcentral describes it as "tRNA-Gln". It matches the Rfam family "tRNA". Rfam says of the family: Transfer RNA (tRNA) molecules are approximately 80 nucleotides in length. Their secondary structure includes four short double-helical elements and three loops (D, anti-codon, and T loops). Lineage: Eukaryota; Metazoa; Hemichordata; Enteropneusta; Harrimaniidae. The record is from RNAcentral.
UGCCCUAUGGUGUAAUGGUUAGCACUUUGGACUUUGAAUCCAGUGAUCCGAGUUCAAAUCUCGGUAGGACCU